Molecule: long non-coding RNA, 421 nt
Organism: Mizuhopecten yessoensis (Yesso scallop)
Lineage: Eukaryota; Metazoa; Mollusca; Bivalvia; Pectinida; Pectinidae
Exons: 4
Source: RefSeq, a predicted model, not a curated record
AGAUGUGCUGCGUAGUCUUAUACAGGACUUUGAAUUGUUCACGUCGUGUCAGUUAAACAAACAUCAUGAAGACAUUCGUCAUCCUCGCUGUCAUUACCUUAUUUGGCAUGGUUGUUUCACAACAAUGUAGUAAUUCUAUCACAUGUCGUCUCGAUGACGACACAACAUGUGCUCCCCACCACCGUGAGUAUUGCCAUCACAAUGCGUGCGUCUGUGCGGAUUCAGUCUCAACGAAUGGCUGUACCCAAGCGAGUGACUGCCAUGGCCAUUCUUCAGCUUGUCAGUUACACUGCGUGGAUGGAAGUUGCCGUUGUAUCCAUUAGAGAGAGUAACAACUCCUGGGUGCGAUGAAAUCUUGUGUUGCUGUGCUUUAAAUAGUUAAUGUUAUUCCAGACAUAUUAAAAUAAUUGGAAAAAAACGA